This 253-nucleotide ribosomal RNA is filed under the name uncultured bacterium. RNAcentral's name for it is "partial 16S ribosomal RNA". It matches the Rfam family "Bacterial small subunit ribosomal RNA", at positions 524 to 776 of the family's 1533-position model. The record is from RNAcentral.
UACGAAGGGGGCUAGCGUUGUUCGGAAUUACUGGGCGUAAAGCGCACGUAGGCGGGUCGUUAAGUCAGGGGUGAAAUCCUGGAGCUCAACUCCAGAACUGCCUUUGAUACUGAGGAUCUUGAGUUCGGGAGAGGUGAGUGGAACUGCGAGUGUAGAGGUGAAAUUCGUAGAUAUUCGCAAGAACACCAGUGGCGAAGGCGGCUCACUGGCCCGAUACUGACGCUGAGGCACGAAAGCGUGGGGAGCAAACAGG